RNAcentral lists this transfer RNA (67 nucleotides) under Marmota monax (woodchuck). Its description in RNAcentral is "tRNA.Ser". It matches the Rfam family "tRNA", at positions 6 to 65 of the family's 71-position model. From Rfam's summary of the family: Transfer RNA (tRNA) molecules are approximately 80 nucleotides in length. Their secondary structure includes four short double-helical elements and three loops (D, anti-codon, and T loops). Lineage: Eukaryota; Metazoa; Chordata; Mammalia; Rodentia; Sciuridae. The record is from RNAcentral.
GGCUGUGGCCCAGCAGUAGAGCGCUUGCCUAGAAUGUAUGAGGCCCUGGGUUCGAUUCUCAGCACCA